AAUGAACGCUGGCGGCAGGCCUAAAACAUGCAAGUCGAACGCCUGUAGCAAUACAGAAGUGGCGCACGGGUGCCUAACACGUGGGAUUAUGCCUAUUGGUACGGAACAGCUCCGGGAAACUGGAAUUAAUACCGUAUGGCCCCUUCGGGGUAACGAUUUAUCGCAAAUAGAUUAGCCCGCGGUGGAUUAGCUAGUUGGUAGGGUAAUGGCCUACCAAGGAGACGAUCCAUAGCUGGUCUGAGAGGACGAUCAGCCACACUGGGACUGAGACACGGCCCAGACUCCUACGGGAGGCAGCAGUUAGGAAUAUUGGACGAUGGGCGCAAGCCUGAUCCAGCCAUGCCGCGUAAGUGAUGAAGGCCUUCGGGUUGUAAAACUCUUUAGCCGAUGAAUAUAAUGACUGUAGUCGGAAAAUAAGCCCCGGCUAACUUCGUGCCAGAAGCCGCCGUAA
Molecule: ribosomal RNA, 451 nt
Filed under: uncultured bacterium
Lineage: Bacteria
Description: partial 16S ribosomal RNA
Rfam family: Bacterial small subunit ribosomal RNA
Source: RNAcentral